Molecule: ribosomal RNA, 223 nt
Filed under: uncultured bacterium
Lineage: Bacteria
Description: partial 16S ribosomal RNA
Rfam family: Bacterial small subunit ribosomal RNA
Source: RNAcentral
CGUAGGUAACCUGCCUGGUAGCGGGGGGUAACUAUUGGAAACGAUAGCUAAUACCGCAUACCAUUGACUAUUGCAUGAUAGUCAAUUGAAAGGUGCAAAUGCACCACUACCAGAUGGACCUGCGUUGUAUUAGCUAGUUGGUGGGGUAACGGCUCACCAAGGCGACGAUACAUAGCCGACCUGAGAGGGUGAUCGGCCACACUGGGACUGAGACACGGCCCAG